Homo sapiens (human) is the source of this 1043-nucleotide long non-coding RNA. Lineage: Eukaryota; Metazoa; Chordata; Mammalia; Primates; Hominidae. The record is from Ensembl.
GCGCUCCCCUCGGGCAGUGGAGGGAGCGGCUCUCUCCGCAGGACACCGCCGCUUUUCUCUCUUCAGAGCGGUGGCUGACGUACAGAACGCCGGCUGUAUCACCCGGGCGCCGGCGCCGCCUCUCAUCCCCGUAGCUCUCGGGGCGCGCCGGGAGUAGCCGAGCCGCUGGGUGCUGGGCGGGGUCUCCGGGCGCGGCGCGGGGGGAAGGCAAAGGAAAAGAAGGGGCGGCGGGCCGACGUCGGCGGCGAGGAAGGACGGAGGAGCGCCGGAGCCGCUUUGCUGCCCUCCGCGUGGUCCCGUGCCUCCCCGACACCAUGGCCCUGGCUGAGGUAGUAGUUUGUGCUGUUGGUCGGGUUGUGACAUUGCCCGCUGUGGAGAUAACUGCGCAAGCUACUGCCUUGCUAGUGCUGGUGAUGCUCAGCGCCGCGGAGGACAAUGGCUGGGAAUCCCCUUUGUUUUCCGGGGCGCUGCCUGGGGACAGCCCGCGAAGCCUCGGCGCCCGGCCGGCGCGGCCACCACGGAAACCGUUAGUUUCACAUUUUCCUAGAAGGAAUUGAGGGGAGUGGGGUGGACCGCGAUGCAUUUUAAAGGUUGGGAAAGAGCUAAGCCAUUGGAUUCCUUUUCUUGAAGGAAGGAGUGGAAUUGUGUAAGAUAAUUGAUACAGAUAACUUUUUCACCCUAAAAAAUUCUAACACUUCUUUCAGCAGUUAAAUGCCAAAUUUAGUGUGUACCUGUUUUACUUCAUUCUUUAGCUGUAGGUUGGAGUGGUGUGAGCGAUCUGCAGAACUGGCAUUAGAGGGGCAGAAGAAGUAGACCUGAUAAUUAAAGUUUAUGCCUUAACAUUUUAGAUCUGGUUUCUGAUAUGCUCUCUUAGUAAAUCUGAGUGUGUCUUUAAAAACGUAAACCCAAAGCAAUUUAAAGUUUCUCUUUAAACUUUGCAACUCGCGAAUGAGAAGAUUGAAAUUAUUUGUAGGUAAUUGCACUAUUCCGAUUUUUUAAUGUAUGAGGCAAACAAAUAAAUUCUAUGUACAGUGUGCUGUGAA